Non-coding RNA from Vigna umbellata (rice bean), 662 nucleotides. NCBI's taxonomy places the organism in Eukaryota, Viridiplantae, Streptophyta, Magnoliopsida, Fabales, Fabaceae. The record is from RefSeq and is a predicted model, not a curated record.
UUAAAUUAACAUUUAGAAACAGAGAAACAAUAUAAAUAAUUGAGAUAGAAAAUUAUGCAUUGUUGAAAGGGAUUUCCCUUGAGCUGCAUUUCAAGCUCAGGUUGUAAAAUUGCAUGUUUGUUGAAUGAAAUGGAAAUAAUAAAGGAGGUAAUGGAACCUUAAGUUUCAGAAUAUGGGCUAUGUGUAUUUGUGGCAGUUUUAAGUAUGGCAAUAUAACUCUUGCAUUUCAAUAUUGAAUGAUAAUUAUCUAUGUUUCCUUAAAUUGAAAUCUCGCUUUGUUUUCUCCACCGUUUUUUUUAAGAGAACAUUGCAUUAAACCUGCAAUUUUAUGUUUGUCUGCAGGGGGUGAUAUUGCUACACUGCUCUUGUUGGGCCUUCUGCUUAUGUGAGGAACAGAGAGAUCAAACAAAUGAAGGAUUGUAUGAAGAAUGGCAAUAGCUUUUCUUUCCUUUCUCAUGACAUUAACGAACUUGAGCACUCCUACCAACUCAAUCUUCCAAGAGUAACUGUGAUUAUGCCCCUAAAAGGGUUUGGAGAACAUAAUCUCCAUAACUGGAGGAGUCAGAUAACACUCUAUAUGGUGGUCCUAUUGAAUUUCUUUUUGUGGUAGAAAGUAUCGAGGAUCCUGCUUACCAUGCUGUAUCAAGGCUAAUAGCAGAAUU